UGAAUGACGUGUGGGAGACGGCGGGAAUAGGUAGGGCUGAGGUGGGGUCGGGCUUUAGUUGUGCGAAAGAGCUCGUAUGCGGUGUGUGGCGUCGGAUGUUAAAACCCAAUGGCUUAAGCUUGGGCCGGCAUUCGUGACGGGCAAACUAGGGUGUGGUAGGGGAGACUGGAACUCCUGGUGUAGCGGUGGAAUGCGCAGAUAUCAGGAAGAACACCGAUGGCGAAGGCAGGUCUCUGGGCCAUAACUGACGCUGAGGAGCGAAAGCGUGGGGAGCGAACAGGAUUAGAUACCCCUGUAGUC
Molecule: ribosomal RNA, 300 nt
Filed under: uncultured Burkholderia sp.
Lineage: Bacteria; Pseudomonadati; Pseudomonadota; Betaproteobacteria; Burkholderiales; Burkholderiaceae
Description: bacterial SSU rRNA
Rfam family: Bacterial small subunit ribosomal RNA (bases 51-300)
Source: RNAcentral